RNAcentral lists this ribosomal RNA (2904 nucleotides) under Escherichia coli. Its description in RNAcentral is "23S ribosomal RNA". It matches the Rfam family "Bacterial large subunit ribosomal RNA". The record is from RNAcentral. Lineage: Bacteria; Pseudomonadati; Pseudomonadota; Gammaproteobacteria; Enterobacterales; Enterobacteriaceae.
GGUUAAGCGACUAAGCGUACACGGUGGAUGCCCUGGCAGUCAGAGGCGAUGAAGGACGUGCUAAUCUGCGAUAAGCGUCGGUAAGGUGAUAUGAACCGUUAUAACCGGCGAUUUCCGAAUGGGGAAACCCAGUGUGUUUCGACACACUAUCAUUAACUGAAUCCAUAGGUUAAUGAGGCGAACCGGGGGAACUGAAACAUCUAAGUACCCCGAGGAAAAGAAAUCAACCGAGAUUCCCCCAGUAGCGGCGAGCGAACGGGGAGCAGCCCAGAGCCUGAAUCAGUGUGUGUGUUAGUGGAAGCGUCUGGAAAGGCGCGCGAUACAGGGUGACAGCCCCGUACACAAAAAUGCACAUGCUGUGAGCUCGAUGAGUAGGGCGGGACACGUGGUAUCCUGUCUGAAUAUGGGGGGACCAUCCUCCAAGGCUAAAUACUCCUGACUGACCGAUAGUGAACCAGUACCGUGAGGGAAAGGCGAAAAGAACCCCGGCGAGGGGAGUGAAAAAGAACCUGAAACCGUGUACGUACAAGCAGUGGGAGCCUCUUUUAUGGGGUGACUGCGUACCUUUUGUAUAAUGGGUCAGCGACUUAUAUUCUGUAGCAAGGUUAACCGAAUAGGGGAGCCGAAGGGAAACCGAGUCUUAACUGGGCGUUAAGUUGCAGGGUAUAGACCCGAAACCCGGUGAUCUAGCCAUGGGCAGGUUGAAGGUUGGGUAACACUAACUGGAGGACCGAACCGACUAAUGUUGAAAAAUUAGCGGAUGACUUGUGGCUGGGGGUGAAAGGCCAAUCAAACCGGGAGAUAGCUGGUUCUCCCCGAAAGCUAUUUAGGUAGCGCCUCGUGAAUUCAUCUCCGGGGGUAGAGCACUGUUUCGGCAAGGGGGUCAUCCCGACUUACCAACCCGAUGCAAACUGCGAAUACCGGAGAAUGUUAUCACGGGAGACACACGGCGGGUGCUAACGUCCGUCGUGAAGAGGGAAACAACCCAGACCGCCAGCUAAGGUCCCAAAGUCAUGGUUAAGUGGGAAACGAUGUGGGAAGGCCCAGACAGCCAGGAUGUUGGCUUAGAAGCAGCCAUCAUUUAAAGAAAGCGUAAUAGCUCACUGGUCGAGUCGGCCUGCGCGGAAGAUGUAACGGGGCUAAACCAUGCACCGAAGCUGCGGCAGCGACGCUGAUGCGUUGUUGGGUAGGGGAGCGUUCUGUAAGCCUGUGAAGGUGUGCUGUGAGGCAUGCUGGAGGUAUCAGAAGUGCGAAUGCUGACAUAAGUAACGAUAAAGCGGGUGAAAAGCCCGCUCGCCGGAAGACCAAGGGUUCCUGUCCAACGUUAAUCGGGGCAGGGUGAGUCGACCCCUAAGGCGAGGCCGAAAGGCGUAGUCGAUGGGAAACAGGUUAAUAUUCCUGUACUUGGUGUUACUGCGAAGGGGGGACGGAGAAGGCUAUGUUGGCCGGGCGACGGUUGUCCCGGUUUAAGCGUGUAGGCUGGUUUUCCAGGCAAAUCCGGAAAAUCAAGGCUGAGGCGUGAUGACGAGGCACUACGGUGCUGAAGCAACAAAUGCCCUGCUUCCAGGAAAAGCCUCUAAGCAUCAGGUAACAUCAAAUCGUACCCCAAACCGACACAGGUGGUCAGGUAGAGAAUACCAAGGCGCUUGAGAGAACUCGGGUGAAGGAACUAGGCAAAAUGGUGCCGUAACUUCGGGAGAAGGCACGCUGAUAUGUAGGUGAAGCGACUUGCUCGUGGAGCUGAAAUCAGUCGAAGAUACCAGCUGGCUGCAACUGUUUAUUAAAAACACAGCACUGUGCAAACACGAAAGUGGACGUAUACGGUGUGACGCCUGCCCGGUGCCGGAAGGUUAAUUGAUGGGGUCAGCGCAAGCGAAGCUCUUGAUCGAAGCCCCGGUAAACGGCGGCCGUAACUAUAACGGUCCUAAGGUAGCGAAAUUCCUUGUCGGGUAAGUUCCGACCUGCACGAAUGGCGUAAUGAUGGCCAGGCUGUCUCCACCCGAGACUCAGUGAAAUUGAACUCGCUGUGAAGAUGCAGUGUACCCGCGGCAAGACGGAAAGACCCCGUGAACCUUUACUAUAGCUUGACACUGAACAUUGAGCCUUGAUGUGUAGGAUAGGUGGGAGGCUUAGAAGUGUGGACGCCAGUCUGCAUGGAGCCGACCUUGAAAUACCACCCUUUAAUGUUUGAUGUUCUAACGUGGACCCGUAAUCCGGGUUGCGGACAGUGUCUGGUGGGUAGUUUGACUGGGGCGGUCUCCUCCUAAAGAGUAACGGAGGAGCACGAAGGUUGGCUAAUCCUGGUCGGACAUCAGGAGGUUAGUGCAAUGGCAUAAGCCAGCUUGACUGCGAGCGUGACGGCGCGAGCAGGUGCGAAAGCAGGUCAUAGUGAUCCGGUGGUUCUGAAUGGAAGGGCCAUCGCUCAACGGAUAAAAGGUACUCCGGGGAUAACAGGCUGAUACCGCCCAAGAGUUCAUAUCGACGGCGGUGUUUGGCACCUCGAUGUCGGCUCAUCACAUCCUGGGGCUGAAGUAGGUCCCAAGGGUAUGGCUGUUCGCCAUUUAAAGUGGUACGCGAGCUGGGUUUAGAACGUCGUGAGACAGUUCGGUCCCUAUCUGCCGUGGGCGCUGGAGAACUGAGGGGGGCUGCUCCUAGUACGAGAGGACCGGAGUGGACGCAUCACUGGUGUUCGGGUUGUCAUGCCAAUGGCACUGCCCGGUAGCUAAAUGCGGAAGAGAUAAGUGCUGAAAGCAUCUAAGCACGAAACUUGCCCCGAGAUGAGUUCUCCCUGACCCUUUAAGGGUCCUGAAGGAACGUUGAAGACGACGACGUUGAUAGGCCGGGUGUGUAAGCGCAGCGAUGCGUUGAGCUAACCGGUACUAAUGAACCGUGAGGCUUAACCUU